CACGUAGGGUGCGAGCGUUGUCCGGAUUUAUUGGGCGUAAAGAGCGUGUAGGCGGCCAGGUAGGUCUGCUGUGAAAACUCGAGGCUCAACCUCGAGACGUCGGCGGAAACCAUCUGGCUAGAGUCCGGAAGAGGAGAGUGGAAUUCCUGGUGUAGCGGUGAAAUGCGCAGAUAUCAGGAAGAACACCCGUGGCGAAGGCGGCUCUCUGGGACGGUACUGACGCUGAGACGCGAAAGCGUGGGGAGCGAACAGG
RNAcentral lists this ribosomal RNA (253 nucleotides) under uncultured bacterium. RNAcentral's name for it is "partial 16S ribosomal RNA". It matches the Rfam family "Bacterial small subunit ribosomal RNA", at positions 524 to 776 of the family's 1533-position model. The record is from RNAcentral.